UACGGAGGGGGCUAGCGUUGUUCGGAAUUACUGGGCGUAAAGCGCCCGUAGGCGGCUUUGUAAGUUAGAGGUGAAAGCCCAGGGCUCAACCCUGGAAUUGCCUUUAAGACUGCAUCGCUUGAACAUCGGAGAGGUAAGUGGAAUUCCGAGUGUAGAGGUGAAAUUCGUAGAUAUUCGGAAGAACACCAGUGGCGAAGGCGACUUACUGGACGAUUGUUGACGCUGAGGUGCGAAAGCGUGGGGAGCAAACAGG
Molecule: ribosomal RNA, 253 nt
Filed under: uncultured bacterium
Lineage: Bacteria
Description: partial 16S ribosomal RNA
Rfam family: Bacterial small subunit ribosomal RNA
Source: RNAcentral